AUGAACCAGCAGCAGCAGCAGCAGAAAGCGGGCAAGCAGCAGAUGAGCGAGCCCAAGAACAUGGAGAUGGAAGCUGGAGAUACAGACGACCCAUCAAGAAUUACCCAGAACACUGUGAUCAAUGGGAACGCGGCCCCGAGUGAUGGACAUAGCAACGCAGAGGAGGACAAGGAGGAUGAAACCAGUGAGCGCUCCAAGGAGACCUUUCGGUUCACUGUGGAGCGCUUCAGCAGACUGAGUGAGUCGGUCCUUAGUCCUCCGUGUUUUGUGCGAAAUCUGCCAUGGAAGAUUAUGGUGUGCCACACUUUUAUCCAGAGAGACCGCACCAAAAAAGUGUAGCAUUCUUUCUCCAGAGCAAUGCUGAAUCUGACUCCACGUCACGGACUUGUCAUACACAAGCAGUGCUGAAGAUAAUAAAUUACGGAGAUGAUGAAAAAUCGUUCAGUCGUCGUAUUAGUCAUUUGUUCUUCCAUAAAUAAAACGAUUGGGGAUUUUCCAAUUUUAUGGCCUAGAGUGAAGUGACUGAUCCUAAGAAAGGAUUUAUGAUGACAAAGUUACCAUUGAAGUCUUUGUACAGGUGGAUGCUCCCCAUGAAGUUGCGUGGGAUUCAAAGAAGCACACAGGCUAUGUCAGCUUAAAGAAUCAGGGAGUGACUUGUUACAUGGACAGCCUGCUACAGACGUUAUUUUUCACAAAUCAGCUACGAAAGGCUGUGUACAUGAUGCCAACCGAGGGGGAUGAUUUGUCUAAAAGCGUCCCUUUAGCAUUACAAAGAGUAUUCUAUGAAUUACAGCACAGUGAUAAACCCAUAGAAACAAAAAAGCUAAUGAAGUCAUUUGGGUGGGAAAUUUUAGACAGCAUCAUGCAACAUGAUGUUCAGCAGCUUUGUGGAGUGUUGCUUGAUAAUGUGGAAAAUAACGUGAAAGGCACCUGUGUAGAGGACACCAUACCCAGAUGAUUCUGACACAAAAUGGUGUCCUAUAUCCAGUGUAAAGAAGUAGACCACCCGUCUGAUAGAAGAGAAGAUUAUUAUGAUACCCAGCUAAAUAUCAAAGGAAAGAAAAAUAUAUUUGAAUCAUUUGUGGAUUAUGUGGCAGUAGAACUGCUCAAUAGGGACAAUAAAUAGGACGCUGGGGAACAUGGCUUACAGGAAGCAGAGAAAGAUGUGAAAUUUCUAACAUCACCACCAGUGUUACGUCUACAAUUGAUGAGAUUUUUGUAUGACCCUCAGAUGGACCAAAAUAUCAAGAUCAAUGAUAGGUUUGAAUUCUCAGAGCAAUCACCAUUUAAUGAAUUUUUGUAAAAAAAAAAACAAAACACAGAUCCUAAGGACCCUGCAAAUUAUAUUCUUCAUGCAGUCCUGGUUCAUAGUGGAGAUAAUCAUGGUAAACAUUAUGUGCUUUAUCUAAACCCAAAGGGGACGGCAAAUGGUGUAAAUUUGAUGACGAUAUGGUGUCAAGGUGUACUAAAAAGGAAGCAAUUGAGCACAGUUAUGGGGGUCAUGAUGACAACCUGUCUGUCCGACACUGCACUAAUGCUUACAUGUUAGUCUGUAUCAGGGAACUAAAACUGAGUGAAGUUUUACAGGCAGUCACCGACCAUGACAUUCCUCAGCAGUUGGUGGAACAAUUACAAGAAGAGAAAAGGAUUGAGGCUCAGAAGUGGAAGGAAUGGCAGAAAGCCCAUCUCUAUAGGCAAGCACAGAUAGCUGCAGAGGACAAGUUUUGUGACGGCAAUAAAGCAAUGAUUGAGGUCAGUAAUAAUGAAAACUCUUGGACAAUAUUCCUAGAAACAGUCGAUCCUGAGCUUGCUGCUAGUGGAGCGACCUUACCCAAGUGUGAUAAAGAUUGUGAUGUAAUGUUGUUUUUGGAGAUGUAUGAUCCCAAAACGCGGAGCUUGAAUUACUGUGGGCAUAUCUACACACCAAUAAUCCUGUAAAAUACGUGCCUUGCUCCCAGUUAUGUGUAACAGAGCAGGAUUUACUCAAGAUACUAGCCUUAUCCUCUAUGAGAAAGUUAAACCAAAUUUAACGGAGAGAAUUCAGGACUAAGACGUGUCUCUUGAUAAAACCCCUGAUGAACGAAUGGAUGGUGACAUCAUAGUAUUUCAGAAGGAUGACCCUGAAAAAUGGUAACACUGAAUUACCCACCGAAAAGGAGUAUUUCCGAGACCUCUACCACCGCGCUGAUGUUAUUUUCUGUGAUAAAACAAUCCCUAAUGAUCCCGGAUUUGUGGUUACAUCAUCAAAUAAAAUGAAUUAUCUUCACAUUGCAAAGACCGUUGCACAGAGGCCCAACCCAGAUCCAAUGUUGCUCCAGUUUUUCAAGUCUCAAGGUUAUAGGGAUGAUCCAGAUAAUCCUCUUAGACAUAAUUAUGAAGGUACUUUAAGAGAUCUUCUACAAUUCUUCAAGCCUAGACAACCUAAGAAACUUUACUAUCAGCAUCUUAAGAUGAAAAUCACAGACUGUGAGAACAGGUGAAGUUUUAAAUGUACAUAGUUAAACAGCCAAUUUAGGGAAGAAGAAAUAACACUAUAACCAGACAAGCAUGGGUGUGUCUGGGACCUGUCAGAAGAAUGUAAAAAGUCCGUGGAGCUUGGGGAGAAAGCAGCAGGGAAACUUAGGCUUCUAGAAAUUGUAAGCUACAAAAUCAUUCGUGUCCAUCAAGAAGAUGAACUAUUAGAAUGUUUAUCUCUGGCAACGAGCCGGACAUUGUGAAUAGAGGAAAUCCCUUUGGACCAGAUGGACACAGACAAAGAGAAUGAGAUGCUUGUCACAGUGGCACAUUUCCACAAAGAGGUCUUCAGAACGUUCGGAAUCCCAUUUUUUCUGAGAAUACACCAAGGUGAGCAUUUCUGAGAAGUGACAAAGUGAAUCCAGAGCCUGCUGGACAUCCAGGAGAAGGAGUACGAGAAGUUCAAGUUUGCAGUUGUAAUGAUGGGACGACACCAGUACAUAAAUGAAGAUGAAUAUGAAGUAAAUUUGAAAGACUUUGAGCCACUGCCCAGUAACAUGUCUUAUCCUUGGCCUUGGCUAGGGCUUGACCACUUCAACAAAGCCCCAAAGAGGAGUCGCUACAAUGACCUUGAAAAGGCCAUUAAAAUCCCCCAAGCUGGUGUGUUCAAGGCGAGGACAGUGCGUGGGGGCCCCCUAACAGCCUAGAACUUUGGUGCAAGCACCCUCUAGUCAAAGUCUUCAGCAAGAGGAU
RNA transcript from Mandrillus leucophaeus (drill), 3207 nucleotides. It is a transcript of the gene named ubiquitin carboxyl-terminal hydrolase 7 pseudogene, with no coding region annotated. Lineage: Eukaryota; Metazoa; Chordata; Mammalia; Primates; Cercopithecidae. The record is from RefSeq and is a predicted model, not a curated record. The transcript has a single exon.